RNAcentral lists this long non-coding RNA (8313 nucleotides) under Volvox carteri. RNAcentral describes it as "long non-coding RNA (VCAR_LNC000987)". The record is from RNAcentral. Lineage: Eukaryota; Viridiplantae; Chlorophyta; Chlorophyceae; Chlamydomonadales; Volvocaceae.
AGAAGUUAAGGCCUGGCUUCUGCUCCCGUCGCGUCCCGGCGCGUCCGGGUUCAAAUCCGCCUGCCGACCUCUCGGGGUGUUUGAGAGGUGAUGAAAUGGGAGGUGGCCCCCCAUCUUGUGGACGAUGUAGGACGUGAUAAAAUCAACUCGCGAGCUGACCAGGAAUUAAGUUGACGCGCCGUUGAUCCGCUAGAUUUGGUUGGAUGCUGGUGGUGAGUUGCCAAACUCAAAGAGUACACUCUGAAGUCGGAUGGGGUGAAUGGCUUAGGGUGCCCCUCUAGCAGGGGAGAGCAGGGAAUUGCCUCGGGAAGGAGGCCACUGGUGAAGCUUAACCACCCUGUAACAACAUCAACUCCCCAUAAUCAAUCCCCUCGCGUUGCUCGAAACCCUUGGCAACUAAACGCGCCUUAAAACGCUCCACGCUGCCGUCAUCGCUGUACUUAACCUUAUAUACCCAACGACACGGCAACAAACGAGUACCAGGAGGUGGCUUCUUCAACUCCCAAGUACUAUUAGCCAUCUGGGCGGCGAUCUCCUCGUCCAUCGCACGCCGCCAGUCGUCUGCAUGUGCACUCGCAAUGGCUUCCGCAAAAGAAUUCGGUUCGGGAAUAUCAGUAGAGAAAGCAGCGUUAACGCGACCAGUAACAGUGCGACCAGGUUCAUUUCGCCACCAUUCGCCAGGGCGUUUACGCUCUCUAACUGGGUACCUAGUUCCCGCCAUUUCCACAUCAGGCUGAUUGAUUCCUUGCCCGUUCGCACUGCUGGAAGGUCCAGCCCCAGCCGGCGCCCCCUCGCCACCCAAAUGCGGCGAUCCCUCGCCGACGGUGCUACCUGGUGUCCCUUCGCCAGCCCUAGGCAGCGAUCCCUCACCAGAUAAACUAGUGCGAAACUCCCCUCUUCGUGGGCAUCGACUUAUAUCGGAGUCCCCGGCAUUACGCCGCCGCCGGACAUUAAGAUUCAUCGAAACGAACGUUAGAAACUAUGGCAAUAAUGCCGUCCACGUAUAGCACACGAUAUUGUCUUCCGUUCCCGUAUCCAACAAGUAUUCCAGGCCUGCUCACCGGGUCGAACUUGUCGCGCUUGACGUCGGGUACGUGGACGUAGGCAACGCAUCCUAAGACUCGCAUGUGACUGACGUUCGGACGAACAUUAAAGAAAGCUUCGUACGGAGUGACGGUUGACCCAGCAGUUGGCGACACAUUCCUAAGAUAGUUGGCUGUCGCUAACGCCUCUGCCCAUAAUGAUUUAGGCAGUCCAGAUUCAACGAGCAUAGCCCUAGUCUUGUCCAAAAGAGUGCGAUUUAAACGUUCCGCAGCUCCGUUCUGCUCAGGGGUGUAGCCUACCGUGUACAAUACCCCUGGAAGCGAAAUAGCCCUUCGUGCGAGUAUUAACGAACUCCCCGCCACGAUCUGUACGCACCUCCUUAACCUGCCUGCCAGUAGCGCGCUCCAGUUCCGCUAUCAUUACCACCAUCUUCUGGUAGACCUCCUCCUUGGUCGCUGUAAACGCAACAGCUGAAAGACCAGUAUGAUCGUCAAGCAGAGUUGUCACGUAACGCGAACCACUAGGCGAAGGUUCAGGCAUAGGUCCACACACAUCCAUGUGAAUGAGUGCGAGAGGCUGCGCUGCCUUAUGCCCAGUUAGCGGAAAAGGACCACGUGUAUGCUUAGCAAAGACGCAAGUCUCACACACACACGCGCUGGCUGAUUGUAUGCUGUGUCGGUCAACAUCGAAUCCAGCUACCAUAUCAUGACGCAGCAGCGCCUCAAGGUUGCUGUAUCCUAAGUGGCCAUACCUUCGGUGCCAAAGUGCUGCACGUUCAGCUCCGAUACCAACGGCAGCACACACUGCAUCACCACCAGAAGGUAUCCUGUUGUCUUAACGCUGCGUCCACUUCAGAGCGCCAGUACCUCCACUGCUGUAGUAGACGGGAUACAAGUCCCCAUCCCGCUUUCCAGUCAGCACCAACUGAUUCUGGAUGCCACGAACGCUACCUGCCGCGGAACUCCUGGUCCCCUAGCUGAUCUACCGGAUCCUGGCUUGCUGCCGCUAGCUCCGCUGCCACUAGCUCCGCUGCCACUAGCUCCGCUGCCACUGUUGUUGUAGCCACCCUUAUAUCCAGAAUUUGACGACUGCUUCAGCGCUUUAAGCUGCCUGCAGUCCCUUACCACGUGCCCAGGCUUAUUACAGUAGUAGCAGAUGAGUUGCUUCCGACUGUGUCCCGAGCUGUUGUUAGCCGGCCCCCGGCUACCAUAACCAGAAGUAGAAGCGCCGAACGUAGAUCCGCCGACAGACGCGAAGGCUGCCGACUCGGUAGGCUUGCCCGACCCACCGUUAGCCGUCUCGAUAGAGAGAAGCUUUGCUGUGACGCUCGCCAUGUCCAAAUCGCCGUCACGCAUUAGUAAUGUAGUCGUCACCACGCUGUACCGACUGGGUAGACCAACCAGGACGGUGUACGUGUCGUUAAUUACGUGGCCGACUCCCAAUAAAUCUGUUUGCAGCUGCCUUGCACGCGCAAAGUACAUCGGAAGAGGUUCGCCGUCGACCAUCUUAAAACGGCUGAAUUCUUGACGUAGAGAAACCUUGCGGGCGUUGUUGUUGGCAGCAAACCUGGAACUAAGUUGAUGCGCCGUUGAUCCGCUAGAUUUGGUUGGAUGCUGGUGGUGAGUUGCCGAACCCAACGAAUACAUUCUGAAGUCGGAUGGGGUGACGGAUUAGGGUGCCCCUCUAGCAGGGGAGAGCAGGGACUGCCCCGGGAAAGGGGGCCGCUGGCGAAGUUAACCACCCUGUAACAACAUAGAGCCCAAGGCGUCCCAGGCCUUCUUCGCGUUGGCAGCACCGGUAACCAUUGGCAAGUGGUGAUCCUUGACGUUCUUGAUAAGCAGAUUGAUGACCUUUCGUGAUUGUCGAAUCUGCUCCUCGUUGCACGGCUCGGCGAGCAAGGAUUGCUCAAGCCCAAGCUCCAUGCACAUCGCGCUAAACCGGAUUUGCCAGGUGGAGUAGUUGUGGAGGUCCAGCGGCUCAUCAAGCUUGUCCUUGACCAUUGUUGAUUAGGGAUAGAAAUAACAAUCAGACGAUAGCUGUCGGCGCUAGGCGGGGCUCAUAACCUAUUGGAGACCAGCAGGGACGUCGUUACCAUGUUGAAGCGGCUGGGUAGACCAACCAGCACUGCGUACGCCAGCUCCGAGUCGCUGAUAACGUGCCCCACUCCCAACAAGUGUGACUGUAAUUGCCGUGCACGUGCAAAGUACUUGGGUAGCGGCUCGCCGUCGACCAUCUUGAAACGGCUGUACUCUUGACGGAGAGCUACCUUGCGUGCGUUAUUGUUGGCGACAAACAUCGCGGCCAAAGCUUCCCAUGCUUCCCAUUCGCGUUCACAGCACCCGUAACCAUCGGCAAAUCUUUAACAUUCUUGAUGAGCAGGUUGAUAACCUCACGAGAUUGUCGAAUCUGUUCCUCGUUUCCCGGCUCGGCGAGCAAGGACUGCUCAAGCCCAAGCUCCAUACACAGCGUGCUGAACCGAAUUUGCCAGGUGGCGUAGUUGUUCAAGUCUAGAGGCUCGUCAAGCUUGUCCUUCCCCAUUGUGGAAUACGAGUAUGAAGGUAGAUGCUGCUAGCGUUAGCCGGGGCUCAUAACCUGUUAAAAAUAUGAAGGAGGCAAGGAGAAUGGUCGCGAUAUAAGUAUUACAGUCGGUAGGUGAGUGGUGAACGGCAGAAAGACUUUAGGAGAUUCCUACUAAGGAAUACCGAUCCAUACAAAGAUGAGAUACCAAGACUUGCAUAACUUGUGUCUUAUAUACCAGUACCAAUGGAAGUAUCGUUCAGUCGCCCACCAUCUAUCUAUCGUACAGUCGCCACCAUCUAUCGGAUUCAUCGCCUAUCUACCACCUAUCUACGUUGGGAUAGGACCAGGAUUCCAAAGGCUGAUUUCAUUCAUGGCAUACGGUGAGCAUCCGAUGGUUUCUGGACUCAGCAUUAAUGCAUCACAUCACCCCUGACCCCUCUGAGUUAUUUAACGUGUCUUUGUGUUGCAAAUGACCGACACUCAUAUACCAGUGAAUGGUAGCCGNNNNNNNNNNNNNNNNNNNNNNNNNNNNNNNNNNNNNNNNNNNNNNNNNNNCCAUUCACUGGUAUAUGAGUGUCGGUCAUUUGCAACACAAAGAGGCACACAACACACUGGGGGUUGGAGCAGUGGGAGCACUUCAAUAUCAUGGGCAUCAAGGGUCAAGCUUUGCAUCCAAUUGCAACGGUGGUCGGCUCACUCAUUAUUCCAGCCAACAUCAACGACAAACAGGCCAUUUCUUUCAAUAAGGUCUACUUUGGUGAGGAGGCAACAGUCAAGGUCUUGUCAGUUCCACGCACCAUCAAUGUAUUGGAGAAUUGGCGACGGUGACGGCUGACGCUUGUUGUUAUUCCGGAAGGAUUGCCGGCGGCGAAGAUAUUGAACACGAUAAACUGUUACAAGUAAUAUAAGGAGUAAUAGUAUGCGUUUGGCAGGACUUUAGGAGAUUCCGUUUGAGGAAUACCGAUCGUUGUGAGAUAAAGAAAUAAGCGCAGUCACCGCCCUAAAUACCGGUGCUAGCGGAAAACUCGUACAUUCCGCGAUCUCACUGCACGUACAUUCCGCAAUCUCACUGCGCCGUCCUGACGGUGCCCAAAUGUCUAUCACUUAGCUACCGAAUAUGCAUCGGUAGCCCCAUAAAGUUCUGGGGUAAGUCUUCCCCAAUAGUCAGGCACAGACCCGGGGCCAAAUCCCCUGGUCGACAACCACACGAGUUGGGAGAGGACCGUUUCCUCAACACGCCCCCUCGGGCCGUAUCCCAACGAGUACCAAGUUCAUCAGCACGCUUCACACAAGGCCCAUCGCACCUCGGCAACGUUUGAAUUUCACCUCGCCCAGAGCUUUCGUGAGCACAUCCGCAACCAUCCACUCCGUAGGGCAGUAUUCCAACUGCACCUCACCGCUAUUCACCCUCUCACGCACUAUGUGAAGCUGUACGUCGAUGUGCUUCGACCGAGCAGACGUAAUCGGGUUAUUUCCUAAGCUAAGCGCCCCCUGGGAAUCUAUUUGAAUCUUGAUAGCGCUCUCAGGCAAACCCAAAACGACCAUCAGCCUGUGAAGCCACAAAGCUUCACGAACAGCUGCCGCUGUAGCUUGAUACUCGGCCUCCACCGACGAAGCCGCCACAGUACGUUGAAGUUGACUGCACCAGCUAAUCGCAGCCCCAUUUAGAGUAAAAACGUAUCAGGAAGUAGAAUGCCGUGUAAACGGGUCUCCUGCCCAGUCAGAAUCGCUAUACCCAGACAUCUCAAUGUCGCCAACACCCCCAAAACGCAAUCCUAGUUCGCGAGUACCCGCCAGGUAACGCAGAAUGCCGGUUGCCAAGUUCAUGGCAGUCUUUGUAAGUGUGGCCAUAUGCCGGGACAAAAGACUCCAUGCAUAAGGAAUGUCAGGGCGAGUGUUAGUCGCUAGGUAGUCCAACUUUCCCACCAAAGCCCUAUGCACCAUGGGAUCCAGCAGCUCAUCUCUAUCCCCCGUGCACCUAAAACCCGGAGCCAAAGGGGUAGACCGUGGCUUGGCGUCCACCGUCUGGUGACGCUCCAAUAGCUGCUCAAUAUUGCGACAACACUAAUUCACCCGGCUUCAUCAUCAGUAUUUCCAUGCCCGAAAACACCUGCGCUUCUCCAAGUUCUCGUACUUCUCUUACAUCUUUGCACCUAGCCAUGCAAAAAAGCGCUUGACCUUCCACUCUUUUCAACUUGUACAACCACCGGUACAUUAGGACAUCAUGAGGCUGUGCACACAGCUCACAAGUGCCGUUAGCUGCCAAUGCAGCAAUCUCCUCGACCAUCACUCUGCGCCACUCAUUUGCAUUUGCACCUGAAAUGGCUUCAGUGAAAGUAUUACUCAGCAAAAAUUCAGCAGGGUACGGAUAAGUGACAGCCACGUUAAUGCGACCUACUAUCCUCCUUCCUGCAACACCAUGCCACCACUCCGAGGGCUAUAAUAUCUCCUCAUAUUCCCUGCCCUAUUCUUCUGAACUCCUGCGCUGGCUUGCACCACUAGAUGUUCCGGCUUCAUCCGGCAUUCCUUCACCAUCCACAGGUGACAGUGGUGCCUAGCCGACUGUGAGGCCCUGACUCAGGUACACCAAUACUAGCCGCUACAAAACUUUCACGGCACUCACGCCCGCCAGUCGUCUGCAUGUGGGCCUGAGAUGCCUUCGGCAUAAAUGUUAGGCUCUGAAUCCCAGCAGAUACUGCAGCAAUGACUCGGCCUGUAGCACUACGACCAGGUACACUCCGUCACCACUCGCCAGGCCGUUUGCAUUCCCUAACUGAAUACCGAGCCCCCAGCAUUUCCACAUCAGUGUGUGUGUUUCCUUCGACAUUCACACGUCUGGGAGGUCCAGCCCCAGCCAGCGCCCCUUCGUCACCCAAAUGCGGCGAUCCCUUGCUGACGGUAUUGCCUGAUGUUGCGAAUGAACAUUCGCUGUUGAGGAAACGGUCCUCUCCCAACUCGUGUGGUUGUCGACCAGGGGAUUUGACCCCGGGUCUGCACCUGACUAAUGUGGAAGACUUACCCCAGAACUUUAUGGGGCUACCGAUGCAUAUCCGGUAGCUAAGUGAUAGACAUUAGGGCACCGUCUGGACGGCGCAGUGAGAUCGCGGAAUGUACGUGCAGUUAGAUCGCGGAAUGUACGAGUUUUCCCCUAGCGCCGGUAUUUAGGGCGGUGACUGCGCCUAUUAGUUUAUCUCACAACGAUCGGUAUUCCUACCAGGAAUCUCCUCAAGUCCUGCCGAACGCUAACAAUACUCUUUACAUUACUUGUAACAGUUUAUCGUGUUUCAUAUCUUCGCCGCCGGCAAUUCUUCCGAGAUAACAAUCAGCGUUAGCCGUCACCGUCGCCAAUUCUUCAAUAGGUUAUGAGCCCCGCCUAGCGCCGACAGCUAUCGCCCAAUUGUUAUUUCUAUCCCUCAUCGACAAUGGUUAAGGACAAGCUUGAUGAGUCGCUGGACCUCAACAACUACUCUACCUGGCAAAUUCGGUUUAGCGCGAUGUGCAUGGAGCUUGGGCUUGAGCAAUCCCUGCUCGCCGAGCCGUGCAACGAGGAGCAAAUUCGACAGUCACGGAAGGUCAUCAAUCUGCUCAUCAAGAACGUCAAGGAUCAUCAUUUGCCGAUGGUUACCGGUGCUGCCUGUUAAGACCAGCAAAGCGCCGGACCCCCGUUGGGUCCUAUUACUGUGGCUACCAUUCACUGGUAUAUGAAUGUCGGUCAUUUCCAACACCCCCCCGUGAGCGACACUCUCUCGCUACGGGCCUUCCCGUGCCUCAUCCCGGUCUCCCAUUCUCUGGGCAACAGCCAGUGGGUAUCGAUCCGGCGACCUCUCGGCAGCGCAAUGCGCCAUUCGGGGCUCAUAACCUGUUAAGACCAGCAAAGCGCCGGACCCCCGUUGGGUCCUAUUACUGUGGCUACCAUUCACUGGUAUAUGAAUGUCGGUCAUUUCCAACACUGCCAACGCGAAGAAGGCCUGGGACGCCUUGGGAUCUAUGGGAUCUAUGUCUGCUCCCGUCGCGUCCCGGCGCGUCCGGGUUCAAAUCCGCCUGCCGACCUCUCGGGGUGUUUGAGAGGUGAUGAAAUGGGAGGUGGCCCCCCAUCUUAUGGACGGUGUAGGACGUGAUAAAAUCAACUCGCGAGCUGACCAGGAACUAAGUUGACGCGCCGUUGAUCCGCUAGAUUUGGUUGGAUGCUGGUGGUGAGUUGCCAAACUCAAAGAGUACACUCUGAAGUCGGAUGGGGUGAAUGGCUUAGGGUGCCCCUCUAGCAGGGGAGAGCAGGGAACUGCCUCGGGAAGGAGGCCACUGGUGAAGCUUAACCACCCUGUAACAACAUCAACAUCAACAACGCCCGGCGGGCGGCUGGCAGAGGUUAAGGCCUGGCUUCUGCUCCCGGCGCGUUACGGCACGUCCGGGUUCAAAUCCGCCUGCCGACCUCUCGGGGUGUUUGAGAGGUGUUGAAAUGGGAGGUGGCCCCCCAUCUUAUGGACGGUGUAGGACGUGAUAAAAUCAACUCGCGAGCUGACCAGGAACUAAGAUGACGCGCCGUUGAUCCGCUAGAUUUGGUUGGAUGCUGGUGGUGAGUUGCCAAACUCAAAGAGUACACUCUGAAGUCGGAUGGGGUGAAUGGCUUAGGGUGCCCCUCUAGCAGGGGAGAGCAGGGAACUGCCUCGGGAAGGAGGCCACUGGUGAAGCUUAACCACCCUGUAACAACAUCAACAACGCCCGCAAGGUGUCUCUACGUCAAGAAUUCAG